Pelobates cultripes (western spadefoot toad) is the source of this 550-nucleotide non-coding RNA. The record is from the annotation of a GenBank genome assembly. NCBI's taxonomy places the organism in Eukaryota, Metazoa, Chordata, Amphibia, Anura, Pelobatidae.
UCACUACUAAGUAUAUAUAUAUCUAUGCUGUUACCGGAAAACUGACGGAGGCCAAGCACAGAGAGAUGGACACAGGUUUCUUCAGGAAGGAAGAGAUCUUUAUUCGAUUCACCGACCGGGACUCAGAGGGACUUUUAUGUCACCAAAAACAGCAAAGAUCUGAGCACUGAAUACAUAGAGUACAUUCCUUAUAUAGCACUGUAGCUCCUCCCAUAAUUAGCUACGCCCACACAUACCCUUAACCUAAUCAAUGAAUAGAGUCUAAACUCAUCCAUGCGGUCUAACCACGUGGCUCAUCUGAAACAAAGGAGAGGGACGCGUAAUUCCAGUUCCUGCAUUCCUGCACAUGCUCAGUACAGUGAUGACAGUAUCUUAGCUACGUGUAACUAACUAACUGAUACUACAAACACAUGUACCUACAUAUGCCUUGUGGCAAGCUUGGCCUGCUAAACUUGUAUUUUACUGGAAUUCCAUCACAAUGCCACUAACAUAAAUGAAGGGUUUUUUUCUGGGACAUUUACAGAAAUUCAGGUUGUUGUUUUUUUGUUUU